This 403-nucleotide ribosomal RNA is filed under the name uncultured bacterium. Its description in RNAcentral is "bacterial SSU rRNA". It matches the Rfam family "Bacterial small subunit ribosomal RNA", at positions 355 to 774 of the family's 1533-position model. The record is from RNAcentral.
UAGGGAAUAUUGCAAAAUGGGCGAAAGCCCGAUGCAGCAACGCCGCGUGGGCGAUGAUGGCCUUCGGGUCGUAAAGCCCUUUUUGAGGGGAUGAGGAAGGACAGUACCCUCAGAAUAAGCCUCGGCUAACUACGUGCCAGCAGCCGCGGUAAAACGUAGGAGGCGAGCGUUAUCCGGAUUUACUGGGCGUAAAGCGCGUGCAGGCGGAUUGGAGAGUUGGAUGUGAAAGCUCCCGGCUUAACUGGGAGAGGUCGUUCAAUACUUCCAGUCUUGAGUGCAGUAGAGGGAAGUGGAAUUCCGGGUGUAGUGGUGAAAUGCGUAGAUAUCCGGAGGAACACCAGUGGCGAAAGCGGCUUCCUGGACUGUAACUGACGCUCAGACGCGAAAGCUAGGGUAGCAAACG